RNAcentral lists this small nuclear RNA (111 nucleotides) under Neogale vison (American mink). Its description in RNAcentral is "Neovison vison (American mink) U4 spliceosomal RNA (ENSNVIG00000019495.1)". It matches the Rfam family "U4 spliceosomal RNA". Rfam says of the family: U4 small nuclear RNA (U4 snRNA) is a component of the major U2-dependent spliceosome. The record is from RNAcentral. Lineage: Eukaryota; Metazoa; Chordata; Mammalia; Carnivora; Mustelidae.
AGCUUUGCGCAGUGGUAGUAUCGUAGCCAAUGAGGUUUAUCCGAGGCGCGAUUAUUGCUAAUUGAAAAGUUAAUGUAAAGUUACAUUUAAAUUUAUUGCUUGACAAAUCAC